This 583-nucleotide long non-coding RNA is filed under the name Brassica rapa (field mustard). RNAcentral describes it as "long non-coding RNA (BRAP_LNC001133)". The record is from RNAcentral. Lineage: Eukaryota; Viridiplantae; Streptophyta; Magnoliopsida; Brassicales; Brassicaceae.
UUUGGGCUCACUAAUUGUUGGGCCUAACUUUUUAAAGUUAAAUAAAUCGGUUAUUAAUCGGGUUAACGGCGCCUAAUGUGAUUAAGCGGCCGAUUACUAAACCGGCGAUUUUUUUUACCGAAUUGGCCUUAAUCGAAACGCUAGGCUUGCGAGUAGCGUUUACGCGGGCGCGUUUGCGGCUACGCGGACGCGUUUUAGAACAAGGUAUAUAUCCUUUCUUACUGUUAUUAUUACUUAAGAGAUGCUUCAAAUAAUAUGUAUAAAUGAACACAUAGUCAUUGGCAGGGACGAGUACAUCAAAUAUGUUGAGGCACAAAAGAGUAAUGGACUAUAUAUGCAUGUUUUCAUGAUCGGAGCUUCUAUCCUUGUAAUUUGUACUAGUGCUAACAUUAUUUUAUAGUUUGGAUAGAUGUUUAAGUGUUCAUGUAUGGAAAUCAUUCGUAGUAUGUUCAUGAACAAUCGUGUCUCGUAAUGCUAACUGGCCUAUAUUAAAAGUUAUAACUUUUUUGCCGGGAUACCAUUCGCUAAACCAUUGACCGUGGAAAGAAAUCUAUAUAUAUUUGGUGGUGCUCUUCCAGUUUCG